AAGACAUCUAGGGCCCUAACUGCCGUCUUUCUUAGUCUUAGUCAUGUACCUCUCUUGAGCAUCUUUUUGCUAUUAACCCGGUUCAGUUUCGUGCAAUCUGAUGCCAAUAUGAUAGCCCAAACUUGCAAGCAGACGCCAUUUUACAACCUAUGUGUAAGCUCUCUCAACUCAGACCCUAGUAGCUCCAAAGCAGACGUUCGUAGGCUAGCCCUUAUAAUGGUUAAUAAAGUAAAGGCAAAAGCAACCAUUUCGCUACACUUGAUCAACCAGCUGAGUCAGAAGAGCCUAGGGCUAAAGAAUCCCUUGAGUUAUUGUGCUGACAAUUACGAUGCAAUUUUAAGUGCAGAUAUACCAGAAGCCCUUGAAGCUUUGCAGAAAGGUGACCCCAAGUUUGCACAAGAUGGUGUAAAGGAUGCUGCAAAUGAAGCCAAUUUAUGUGAAGCUAAAUUCCAUGGGAAAUCUCCCCUCACUAAAUUCAACAAAGUUGUGCAUGAUACUUCGGCUAUUGCUGCUCCAGCAAUUGCAUUGAUAUAUAUAUAUACAAUUAUCUUUUUUUCUUCAAUAAUGCUUGUUUAGAAUAAUAAAUCUUUCUAUUAGGGCCUUUGAAUUUCAUUUGGGUUGGUUUUCAUGUGGGCUAUUUCUGCUUAAAACAGUGGUUUAACAUAGGACAAAUUUUCCCCCGCUACACCUCAAACGAAAGUUGUCAAGUGUCAUCAUCAAAGUGUACGAGGAUAGGAACACUGUUGCUGAACAUGCGUUCUAUUUAUAGAUCAAAUAUGCAAGAAAAAACCCUUUUAUGAUCUCGGUGUCUCUGUCUCGUCUCGAAACCCUUAAAAUCCCAUCACACAUGUCAAAGCUCUGGCCUCUACAAUGCCUAAUCUUGUUCUGUCCAGUGCAUCUGAUAUGUUGAGCUAUAUUCAAUAACUAAUCAAGCAAGGAGCAGACAGUCAGUUGCAGAAACCUUUAGCCAAUUUGUGCUGAAUUGUAUAUUCCAGGUGUGAAGUACAAUCUUCCUCAAGCCAUUAAUUCUUUGAUGAGAGGUAAGUUUGGAUUCACCAGCAAUUUAUUAUCUGAUGCAGCAAGGGAACUUCUCUGCUUCAAAUCAAUCCCCAUCCAAGAUUAUCAUGAUAAAGCAAUUUCAUGUUUCUUUCAUCUUUUCUCUAUCGCUCAUCUUUGCUUAUGUCCUCUUGGAACGUGUAUUCUUUUUAUUCUUUGAGAGAGAACCCCUUCAAGAAUGAAAACCAAAAGCAAGAUCCUUUUUUUCAGGAUCACCAUUUUUCAUCUUCAUAUUGUUUUUUUCCCAUUUGAUUACUGGUUAUAUGUUUGUCUUGAAUCAAAA
This 1339-nucleotide unclassified non-coding RNA is filed under the name Hevea brasiliensis (rubber tree). The record is from RNAcentral. Lineage: Eukaryota; Viridiplantae; Streptophyta; Magnoliopsida; Malpighiales; Euphorbiaceae.